AGUACCGUGAGGGAAAGGCGAAAAGAACCCCGGCGAGGGGAGUGAAAAAGAACCUGAAACCGUGUACGUACAAGCAGUGGGAGCACAGGUUUACCUGUGUGACUGCGUACCUUUUGUAUAAUGGGUCAGCGACUUAUAUUCUGUAGCAAGGUUAACCGAAUAGGGGAGCCGGAGGGAAACCGAGUCUUAAUUGGGCGUUAAGUUGCAGGGUAUAGACCCGAAACCCGGUGAUCUAGCCAUGGGCAGGUUGAAGGUUGGGUAACACUAACUGGAGGACCGAACCGACUAAUGUUGAAAAAUUAGCGGAUGACCUGUGGCUGGGGGUGAAAGGCCAAUCAAACCGGGAGAUAGCUGGUUCUCCCCGAAAGCUAUUUAGGUAGCGCCUCGUGAAUUCAUCUCCGGGGGUAGAGCACUGUUUCGGCUAGGGGGCCAUCCCGGCUUACCAACCCGAUGCAAACUGCGAAUACCGGAGAAUGUUAUCACGGGAGACACACGGCGGGUGCUAACGUCCGUCGUGAAGAGGGAAACAACCCAGACCGCCAGCUAAGGUCCCAAAGUCAUGGUUAAGUGGGAAACGAUGUGGGAAGGCCCAGACAGCCAGGAUGUUGGCUUAGAAGCAGCCAUCAUUUAAAGAAAGCGUAAUAGCUCACUGGUCGAGUCGGCCUGCGCGGAAGAUGUAACGGGGCUAAACCAUG
RNAcentral lists this ribosomal RNA (695 nucleotides) under Salmonella enterica. Its description in RNAcentral is "partial 23S ribosomal RNA". It matches the Rfam family "Bacterial large subunit ribosomal RNA", at positions 497 to 1191 of the family's 2925-position model. The record is from RNAcentral. Lineage: Bacteria; Pseudomonadati; Pseudomonadota; Gammaproteobacteria; Enterobacterales; Enterobacteriaceae.